GAUCCUGGCUCAGGAUGAACGCUAGCUACAGGCUUAACACAUGCAAGUCGAGGGGCAGCAUGGUCUUAGCUUGCUAAGGCCGAUGGCGACCGGCGCACGGGUGAGUAACACGUAUCCAACCUGCCGUCUACUCUUGGACNGCCUUCUGAAAGGAAGAUUAAUACAAGAUGGCAUCAUGAGUCCGCAUGUUCACACGAUUAAAGGUAUUCCGGUAGACGAUGGGGAUGCG
This 229-nucleotide ribosomal RNA is filed under the name uncultured bacterium. Its description in RNAcentral is "partial 16S ribosomal RNA". It matches the Rfam family "Bacterial small subunit ribosomal RNA", at positions 15 to 235 of the family's 1533-position model. The record is from RNAcentral.